GGCACGCAUGAUAAUGACAUUCUUUGUACAGUAAAAGGGCCUUAGGGUGGUCAUUAUGAUUAUGUACAAUUGAAAACUUAAAAGUGCAGGUCGUCUGUCAAAUUGAGAUAAAAAAAAAAAACAAUCACAAACAUCUUAAUAAUUUAGAAUGAAUGUUUUAUUCUAUUGUGGUUGUUUAUAAAUACUUAACGAUCAUUUAUAGCUGUAGGAGUACAAAUAGUGUAAUUACCUCUCACCGUUAAUUUUACAAAACAUAACAUAAUAUAUACAUGAAUACAUAUAUAUAUAUAAUACUUCGGUACUGGCAUAAAAAUACGGAUUUUGUGUUAUUAUUGAUUGUCAAAAUCCGAAUCUUCUACAGCCAAAUAAGUUCCGUUCAUGUUAUAAAUAAUAUAAAAUAUUAUUGAUAUUCUUAAAAGAUUAAUGAGCGAAUGGAAUUUAAAAAAAAUGAAUAUCAAUGUUCAUUUAAAUUUGCAAACUUCUUUUAAAAUGAAUACUAAAAGUUGAGCGAUAUAAAAAAGACAUAUUCUAUCUAAAAAAUGCCCAUUUUAGCACAAUAAAUUGUAAUACAAUCAUAGUCACUGCAGUGCCUAGAACAAUAGAAACUUUUCAAAAGUGUGUAUGUUCUAACAAAAUUCUAACAAUACAAGUACCUCGGUUUCAACAAUGUUUUAUACCUGUUCAAAAAUAUUCGUUGUUGAAUGGAUAGUCUGUCAAAAAGUCGUCUCUAUGCGGAUCGGUGCAACACCACAAAGAAAAUGCGCAUAGACUCUACUAUGAGAUGGAACUGUUACUUUAUGCAUGUGUUCCACGGUGUACAGAACGCAUUGUUACGAAUUUCAGCACAUUUAUGAAGAUGAUGUUCCAGGUGUACCGGCCGAUACACUGUGUGUUCCGGUGGAAUUUGUCGUCAUAUAUGGUGAUUAAUUUGUUUCGGCCGAUAUAGCUUGCGUUCUUGCAAAAUCUGCUGUUCUGAUGUCUCUUUAAAUAAAUUCAUAAAAUAGUUAAAACUAAAAUUGUUUUACGUAAACAUUUAAAACUUACGGGUAUAGAUAAAAGGAAAUGUGGUGUAUAAGUCCGCCAACAAAAACAAACUCACCUACACAAAAAACAUGAUCAAAACGCAUGUAAAAUUCAACAUACAAUAUGCAAAGAAAGACAUAAAACAAAAAAUAAGUUAGCCCUUAAUCUCCCCGAGUGUAUAAUGAUGUGAAUGAUUUGACAGAGACUUCAAGAAAGCACUGCCAUAACACCAAACAUUUUCCAAGAUCAAGAUCGAGAGAGAGAGAGAGAGAGAGAGAGA
Molecule: long non-coding RNA, 1303 nt
Filed under: Mytilus galloprovincialis (Mediterranean mussel)
Lineage: Eukaryota; Metazoa; Mollusca; Bivalvia; Mytilida; Mytilidae
Source: RNAcentral